RNAcentral lists this long non-coding RNA (2085 nucleotides) under Homo sapiens (human). RNAcentral's name for it is "HSALNT0175783". The stretch from base 1507 to 1623 matches the Rfam family "Metazoan signal recognition particle RNA". The record is from RNAcentral. Lineage: Eukaryota; Metazoa; Chordata; Mammalia; Primates; Hominidae.
UGGCACUUGCCUGCCCAGCCUGAGAUGCUGUAUGAGGGCGGUGAGGUGGGCGUCCCCAACCCGGAGGCAGGGACAGGGAGGGAUGGGAUAAUUGGCGUGCUUGCGUGGGCUCCUAAUCUCUGGAUCUCGGGCCUUAUGGCUAAACACCUUAUCCUCACUGCACCCCUCUGAUGGGCCUGCCGAGCAGGUGGGGCAAAGAUGUUGGUGAGAUGAAAACACCCGCACAGUGGGGCAGUGUCCUUCCUGCUUCUUUCUGGGAUUCAUUUUAUCUCUGAAAUAGGAGGCACUUAAGCUCAUGCUGGCUUUACAUACUAGAGAGGUUAUGUAAAUUAACGGGAGAGUUUACAGAGGGCUUUGAUCUCUUUAUUUAUUGUUUCAAUUAAAGACCAGUGUGAUAGUACAGAGGGCUUUGAUUUCAGAAGAAAAGAGCCAUGUAAGGGUUUGUUUGCCCAUUUUACAGAUAAGGAAAGUUGAGUCCCAAAACGAACAUCUGGCCUCCAGCUAUUUGGCAAAGUUGGGAGUAAGGUCCUGAGCACUCCUCAUUUGGGACAUGUUUGUCUGGCACAUGCCAGCAGUGCCUUCUGAAAUGGGAGCCCCAUGAGCAGAGGAGGUAGCAGCUUGGUGGAGGCCUCCGGUCUCCUUCCCAGACUCAGCCUCCGUGUAGGGGGGACUCCUGGCCCGUUAGAAGCUUGACAUCGUGGCAGGCACUGUUUUCACAUGAAUCUCCCCUGCCGAGCUGGCCAGAGCUUGGGCACUCGUCUCAUGAGCUGUGGCCGUGACGUUCCGCCUCUUGGUCUUGACCGUAUGUGACGCUGCCUCCCUCUGUGAUGUGCAUUGUCACGUCACUGCAAAUCUGAAGCCUAAAUCCUGGCAUGAAGACCCCUGUCUUGUGCACCUGGGUGUCACCUGUCCCGCCGUGCCCACACAGAGCCAAGCCUUAGGAAGUGCCCUUGGGGUCCUGGGGGGGCUCACCCUAUAGAAAAAACACUGCCUGCGUUCUCCUCCUGCUUCUGCGGUGACUGGGUGACAAGGCCCUUCCUCCCCUGGGGUCUUUGCUUUUCCUCUGUCAGAUGGGGUUGCCUCCCCCUGAGUUCCCCCAGAGUGUUGGGGAAAGGGGAAAAUAAGAUAAUAGAUGCCAAACUAGUCAGACCCAGGUAGCCUAGUUAAAAUGAAAACUUCAUUAAAAAUUAAGAAUUGGCUGGGUGCGGUGGCUCACGCCUGUAAUCCCAGCACUUUGGGAGGCCGAGGUGGGUGGAUCACCAGGUCAGGAGAUCGAGACCAUUCUGGCUAGCACGGUGAAACCCCGUGUCUACUAAAAAUAUAAAAAAAUUAGCCGGGCGUGGUGGUGGCUCCUGUAGUCCCAGCUACUCGGGAGGCUGAGGCAGGAGAAUGGCGUCAACCCAGGAAGGCGGAGCUUGCAGUGAGCCAAGAUCGCGCCAUUGCACCCCAGCCUGGGCGACAGAGCCAGACUCCGUCUCAAAAAAAAAAAAAAAAAAUUAAGAAUCGGCCGGGCGUGGUCGCUCACGCCUGUAAUCCCAGCACUUUGGGAGGCUGAGGCAGGUGGAUCAUUUGAGGUCAGGAGUUCGAGACCAGCCUGACCAACAUGGAGAAACUCUGUCUCUACUAAAAAUACAAAAUUAGCUGGGCAUGGUGUUGCACGCCUGUAAUCCCAGCUACUGGGGAGGCUGAGGCCGGAGAAUCACUUGAACCCGGGAAGCGGAGGUUGCCGUGAGCCAAGAUUGUGCCAUUGCACUCCAGCCUGGGCAACAAGAGCGAAACUCCAUCUCAGAAAAAAAAAAGAAUUGGCUGGGCACAAUGGCUCACACCUGUAAUCCCAGCACUGAGGCAGGUGGAUCACUUGAGGUCAGGAGUUCAAGAUCAGCUUGGCCAACAUGGUGAAACCCCCAUCUCUACUAAAAAUACAAAAAUUAGCCAGGCUAGUGUCAGGCACCUGUAAUCCUCAAGAGGCUGAGGCAGGAGAAUUGCUUGAACCCGGGAGGUAGAGGUUACAGUGAGCUGAGAUUGUGCCACUGCACUCCAGCCUGGGCGACAGCACAAGACUCCAUCUAAAAAAAAAAAAAAAAA